CAAGAGUCAGAUGCUCAACCGCUUCAAUUUUUGGAAAGAUUUGGUUCAUCCAAUCUCCGAGGGUUGCUAUGAGGCUUGCAGCCAAUGGGACUCGCAAAAAGUCUACUACGUGCAUCAGAUCCUCUCCGAACCCCAGCCAGGGCUAACUAGGAAUACGCCUGUGCUUCAUUCAGCUUUUCCCCAGGGAGCUUAACUCAAGUCUAUAUCCAGAAACAAGAUGGCAUUACCCUGGGUUCAAGUUCCAGCCAUACCAGGAUUACCCAUUUGCUGGCUGGAUGACAAAGCCCUUCCUCAGCCAGGCCCUUGAGGAGAUUGAAUAAGGACAUGGAGCACCAGGUUUGGCCUCAGGCACCUAAUGCCUGUUUGACAAAUGCCUGUUUCUAGUAUUUUCACCUAGUGAGCCUCCCAGUUAAGGACCUAGAUCUCUGUCAUCAUCACCUGACUUAACUGGAUGCCUUUGACUUGCGGGUUUUUUGUUAUGGAGUUUUCCAUUUCUUCA
Long non-coding RNA from Hyaena hyaena (striped hyena), 499 nucleotides. RefSeq lists it as uncharacterized. The record is from RefSeq and is a predicted model, not a curated record. NCBI's taxonomy places the organism in Eukaryota, Metazoa, Chordata, Mammalia, Carnivora, Hyaenidae. The transcript has 3 exons.